UUGAUAGCCAUAGAGACUGAAACUUGUAUGUAGAUACAGAACAGGUACAAACACAGGCGGUAGUGGUACAAGAUUCUCCCACCCCAUCAACCAACAUGCCUCAAUUCUGACCUGGAGUGAUGACUUCUAGGAGCAAGAGGGGAGUUCAGUCUCCAUGGCCCAAUCAGUCCUUGCUGAAGCU
Chrysemys picta bellii (western painted turtle) is the source of this 181-nucleotide unclassified non-coding RNA. Lineage: Eukaryota; Metazoa; Chordata; Testudines; Emydidae. The record is from Ensembl.